RNAcentral lists this ribosomal RNA (1332 nucleotides) under Sericostoma personatum. RNAcentral describes it as "16S large subunit ribosomal RNA". The record is from RNAcentral. Lineage: Eukaryota; Metazoa; Arthropoda; Insecta; Trichoptera; Sericostomatidae.
UUUAAGUAAAAUUUAAAUUAAAAUAAAUAAUUAAAAUAAUAAUAUAAAUAGAGAGAUUUUAGUGAAAUAAUUUAAAAAAUAUAAUUUUUUAUAGGGGAAUAGUAUAGUAAUAGAAAAUUGAAAUAUUCAAUGAAAUAUUUAAUAAUUUAAAAGUAAAUUUUAUUUGUUGUAUCUUUUGUAUCAGAGAUUAUUAAAAAUUUAAUUGUGAUUAUAUUUAAUCUCAAAACUUAAAGAUUUAAUUGAUUAAGUUAGUUAAUGUAGAAUUAUUAUUGAUAAUAAUUAAUUAGAAAUGAAAUGUUUAUCGUUUUAAGUUAUAUUUAGUUUUUUUAGAAAUAAAUUUAAUUUAUUUAUUUAAUUUUGAUUAUAUUUAUUUAAAAAUAAAUUUAUAUUAAUUAAAUAAAAAUUUUUAAGGGGAUAAUCUUUUAAGAAUUAUUUAUAUAGAUCUAUAGUAAUAUAUUUAAAAUUUAUAUAAAUAAGAUUUUUUUUUAUUUUUUAUUUUUAGUAAAAAAUUUUAUUUAAAGAGUUAUAUUUUAAUUUUGAUAUUAAUUAAAAUCUAUAAAAAUUUUUAUUUUAAUAAUUAAAAUAAUGUAAUUAUGAUAAUAUUAGUAUAUAAAGUUAAAAUUAUUAAUAUAAAAAUUAAUAAAAGAUAAUUAAAAAAAAUUCGGCAAUAAUAUAUUCGCUUGUUUAUCAAAAACAUGUCUUUUUGUUUAAUAAUUUAAAGUCUAAUCUGCUCACUGAAAUUAUAAUAUUUAAAGAGCCGCAAUUAAUUGUGCAAAGGUAGCAUAAUCAAUAGUUUUUUAAUUGAAAACUGGUAUGAAUGAUUGGACGAAAUAUAUUCUGUUUCUUAAUUAUUAUAUAAAAUUUAUUUUUUUAAUGAAAAAAUUAAAAUAAUUUUAAAAGACGAGAAGACCCUAUAAAUGUUUAUAUUUUUUUUAUAAAAAUAUUUGUAAAAAAAGUAUUUUAUUGGGGUGAUAAAAAAAUUUAAAAAACUUUUAUUAUUAUAAUCGUUAAUUAAUGAAUUAUAUGUAUUUAUGAUCUAUAAGUUGUAAAUUAAGAUAAAGAUACUUUAGGGAUAACAGCGUAAUUUUAAUUUUUAGUUCUUAUAAAAAUUAAAGAUUGCGACCUCGAUGUUGGAUUAAAAUUUAUAUUAAAUGUAGGUGUUUAAAUAUUGGGUCUGUUCGACCUUUGAAAUUUUACAUGAUCUGAGUUCAAACCGGUGUAAGCCAGGUUGGUUUCUAUCUUUAAUUUAAUAAAAUUAAUUAGUACGAAAGGAUUAUUAAUUUAAAAAAUUUUUAAAAGAAGAUUAUUAAUAAUGAAUUAUUUUAUAAUAUA